This 305-nucleotide ribosomal RNA is filed under the name uncultured bacterium. RNAcentral's name for it is "bacterial SSU rRNA". It matches the Rfam family "Bacterial small subunit ribosomal RNA", at positions 335 to 641 of the family's 1533-position model. The record is from RNAcentral.
GUGCCUACGGGACGCAGCAGUGGGGAAUAUUGCACAAUGGGGGGAACCCUGAUGCAGCGACGCCGCGUGGGUGAAGGAGCACCUCGGUGCGUAAAGCCCUAUCGGCAGGGAAGAAAAGCGAACAGGUUCGCCUGGACGGUACCUGACUAAGAAGCCCCGGCUAACUACGUGCCAGCAGCCGCGGUAAUACGUAGGGGGCAAGCGUUAUCCGGAUUCACUAGGUGUAAAGGGAGCGUAGACGGCGGCGCAAGUCUGGAGUGAAAGCCCGGAGCCCCACCCCGGGACUGGUCUGGAAACUGCGGCGC